UGUUGAAGGAAUUGUUCUGAAUUGGUUCCAUAUAAACUGAAUUGAAUUAAAAGUUAUUCAUAGAAACACUAAAGUUAUGUGUAAAGUGUUUACUGGGGUCCCCAUACACUUCACAGGAGUCGCCCCCUGUUGGCUGAUAUAAAUAAUGCUGUCUUAAACCACAUGGGCUUCUUGAAGCUAUGCCCAUCUUUUAUAUACAGUCUCUGAUUUGGGUCCAUGAUUAUUUAAGGCGCUGGUUUUAUCGAGUAUCUGUUUCCAAUCAACGACAACAUAAAAACGUCCCCAUUUAAAUGUUAACAUUGAAACAUGUUCAUAGACUAUAAAGAGCAUCUGUUACCUGCUACCCACAAAAAAGUUUGUGUUUGUGGUUGUAAAGCUGCGUGGUUACAAGCAGCAGGAAGAACAGGCGUGUUCACAGAGGCCGAGUUCCUGUUCUCAGAUCACACAGGAACUAUUCAGACACUUCCCACUGUGUCAGGAUGAAGGUGAAGAUCUUCUGCUGCCUGUUAGCCUGCACUCUGGGCUCUAAUGUCACUGCUGGUUUAACCCAUGAAGUAUUUAAGGAGGGGACACAGGUCAGUCUGCGCUGUCCUCACUCUGUGGAGGGUAAAGUGAGGUGGAGCAGAGAGAGUGGAGGAAACAGAACUGACAUACUUACAGCUGAUGGAGACGGAAAUAUAAAACACAUCAAUGAUCCACAGAAACGAUACAGUUCACUGGCUGAUCGAUCUCUGAUCAUCGUCAGAGCUUCUGUCUCAGACUCUGGCAGAUACUUCUGUAACCAUGAAGCAGCUGUGGAGCUGACAGUGAUCCCAUCAGGAACUAAAAUAGUGAGUGUUGCAGAGAGGAGCAGCAUCACUCUGAACUGUUCUCAUCAUGUUGGAGGAUCAGCUGUUCCCACAUGGAGCAGAGACUCUGGAGAAAUAAAUGAAGGAAGGAUUUCUGUUUCCACUGAGGACAAAACAUUAAGUAUAAGAGAAGCUGAGCCUGCUGACUCUGGACUGUACAACUGUGAUGGAAAACCAGCUGUUUAUCUGAAUGUGACCAAAGGACAGAGAUCUGACAGAGAUAAUGAAACAACCUCAGCAACAAUAACUACAACAGUUACUCAUCAGCCAGCAGAGACAUCUGCUCCGUCAGGUGUGAUUCCAACAAAGACAUCAGUCAGCUUCACAGGUUUAAAUGUAUAAUUCUCAGUCACAUGUAUGCAAAUUAAAUCCGUUCUGCUGUUUACAGAAAGUAUAAAUGACAUUUAUGUUUGAGGUACGAUGCUCUGUAAGACAAACUCAGCUGUUCUGAAUUACAUUUUAAAAAACACUGCUCAAAAACUUAAAGGAAGACUUUGAAAACACGUCAAACUAUUACUGCAUAUCUAAUAUGAACGAGGGGAUGUGUUAGCAAUGGAAGGAUGCCACAUCGUUGGAUGGAAAUGAAAAUUAUAAACUGACAGAGGCUGAAUUCAAAGACACCCUGAGACACAGCAAAGCUUCCAGCUGUGGCACGUUUUCAA
This 1510-nucleotide long non-coding RNA is filed under the name Oreochromis niloticus (Nile tilapia). RNAcentral's name for it is "lncRNA (ENSONIG00000031975.1)". Lineage: Eukaryota; Metazoa; Chordata; Actinopteri; Cichliformes; Cichlidae. The record is from RNAcentral.